UACGGAGGAUGCAAGCGUUAUCCGGAUUUAUUGGGUUUAAAGGGUCCGCAGGCGGAUCAAUAAGUCAGUGGUGAAAGCCUGCAGCUUAACUGUAGAAUUGCCAUUGAUACUGUUGGUCUUGAGUGUGGUUGAAGUGGGCGGAAUAUGACAUGUAGCGGUGAAAUGCAUAGAGAUGUCAUAGAACACCGAUUGCGAAGGCAGCUCACUAAACCAUUACUGACGCUCAGGGACGAAAGCGUGGGUAGCGAACAGG
This 253-nucleotide ribosomal RNA is filed under the name uncultured bacterium. Its description in RNAcentral is "partial 16S ribosomal RNA". It matches the Rfam family "Bacterial small subunit ribosomal RNA", at positions 524 to 776 of the family's 1533-position model. The record is from RNAcentral.